CCUACGGGAGGCAGCAGUGGGGAAUAUUGCACAAUGGGGGGAACCCUGAUGCAGCGACGCCGCGUGGGUGAGGAAGUACUUCGGUAUGUAAAGCCCUAUCAGCAGGGAAGAAAGUGACGGUACCUAACUACGAAGCCCCGGCUAACUACGUGCCAGCAGCCGCGGUAAUACGUAGGGGGCAAGCGUUAUCCGGAUUUACGGGGUGUAAAGGUAGCGUAGACGGCGUGCCAAGUCUGAUGUGAAGGGCCGGGGCUCAACCCGGGGACUGCAUUGGAUACUGGCAUGCUGGAGUGCCGGAGGGGCAAGCGGAAUUCCUGGGGUAGCGGUGAAAUGCGUAGAUAGUAGGAGGAACACCGGUGGCGAAGGCGGCUUGCUGGACGGUAACUGACGUUGAGGCGCGAAAGCGUGGGGAGCAAACAGGAUUAGAUACCCCGGUAGUC
Molecule: ribosomal RNA, 440 nt
Filed under: uncultured bacterium
Lineage: Bacteria
Description: partial 16S ribosomal RNA
Rfam family: Bacterial small subunit ribosomal RNA
Source: RNAcentral